Molecule: ribosomal RNA, 276 nt
Filed under: uncultured soil bacterium
Lineage: Bacteria
Description: partial 16S ribosomal RNA
Rfam family: Bacterial small subunit ribosomal RNA
Source: RNAcentral
AGAACGAACGCUGGCGGCGUGCUUAACACAUGCAAGUCGAGCGGUAAGGCCUUUCGGGGUACACGAGCGGCGAACGGGUGAGUAACACGUGGGUGAUCUGCCCUGCACUUCGGGAUAAGCCUGGGAAACUGGGUCUAAUACCGGAUAUGACCUCAGGUUGCAUGACUUGGGGUGGAAAGAUUUAUCGGUGCAGGAUGGGCCCGCGGCCUAUCAGCUUGUUGGUGGGGUAAUGGCCUACCAAGGCGACGACGGGGUAACGACCGUACGAGAGGGUGG